Long non-coding RNA from Phyllopteryx taeniolatus (common seadragon), 699 nucleotides. RefSeq lists it as uncharacterized. The record is from RefSeq and is a predicted model, not a curated record. The transcript has 2 exons. Lineage: Eukaryota; Metazoa; Chordata; Actinopteri; Syngnathiformes; Syngnathidae.
UCUCCAGCCACUCGUGUCUCGUCCAGGUGUUCCUCGUUGUCUCGUCAAUCUGUUUGUAUUUAAUUCCCUGGUUUCGUUCAGUUCUUGUUGGUUCAUUGUCUUUGCAGUAUGUCAUUGUCAGGGGUCAUUGUCCCUAUCUGUUCCAUAUCCUACUCACCAGUGAUAGUUUGUUUCCAGUUUUAGGAAUUUAAGUGUUACUUUAGUUCGGUUGUGGGACUUUAUUUAGUUUUGCUUUAUCAAUGUUCCUUGUUGGCCCUUCUUGAAGCUUAAAUAUAAUUUUUUUUGAGACUCCCGUAGUCCUGCCUUGCCUCCCCGCUUCCCUGCACUUGGGUCCUCCACGUUUUUUGCCUUUCCUUCCUCGCCUUCGACCACCCCAACCGUGACAGAAUACUUUGGCCACUAUGGACCCAGCAACUCCGGAGGCACUGAAGAACGCACAAACCCUCCAAGGCGCCCACAUUGGACGACAGGACAAAAUACUGCAAGAAAUCACCGAACCGCUCCACUCCCUUUCGCAACAGGUCUCCCUCCUUCCCCAACAGAUGCCAUCCAUUCAACUCCCUUGUUCCUGACCCACGUCAUUCCUGCCAGCCCCCUAUUCUGUCCACUGCCUGCCACCUGCCCACGCUGCCGCCUGUCAACACAUCCAGGACCACUUUCAUAACCUUUGCUCAAUAAACUGUUCAUCAUUUUACAUCA